RNAcentral lists this long non-coding RNA (2484 nucleotides) under Sorghum bicolor (sorghum). RNAcentral describes it as "long non-coding RNA (SBIC_LNC010706)". The record is from RNAcentral. Lineage: Eukaryota; Viridiplantae; Streptophyta; Magnoliopsida; Poales; Poaceae.
CGCGGGGCACGCGGCCAGGGAGGGCGCGCGGCCUGGGGCGCGCGUCCGCCUCCACGCUACCCAGGAGGGUGCGCGGCUGGGGCGUGCGGCCAGGGCUCACGUCCUGGUGCGCGCAGCCGGGGCUCGCGGCCAGGGGCGUGCGGCCGCCUCCACGCCGGCUGCCUGACUCCGCGCCCGGCCGCCAUCGCGCCGGUUCUACCCUGGUUCUCGAGCUUCCCCGGCGAGUGGGCUCGACCCCAACACUUCGAUCCAGAUGGCGUCAGCAAGCACCGCGGUCGUGGAGUGUUGGAAGGCUGACCAAGAACAAAAGCUGCCAUGCUAGCGGAUAGUGCAGGCAGUGAAUGUCUCUGGUCUCAUCAAUGGUGUUGGCGAUGUUUUUUUAUCGGUAGCUCAUCUACGAGUGCUUUCUCGCUCUUGGUGUUGCUGCUUCUGAGUCUCACUAUGCUGAUUCGUGUGGAGACCCAGGAGGUAAGCAGUUGGUGCCAAGAUAAAAAAAAUCUAUACAUCCAGAUAAUAUUCAAUGCUUAUAUGGCAUGUCUUAUAGGAAACAUUGUUUCUUUACUUAUAACAAAGUAUAUAUGUCAUGUGUGAUACUACUCAGGUGCUCAACAUGGAGUUUGGUCAGAAAUUAUUUAGUGUCUAUGAUUAUUUUUAUAGCAGCUGAUAAUUAGCACAAGAACAUGAAUUGGAUUCUUCAUAGGAAUUUCAGGUGGAUAUCACCCUAAACUUUGUGAUUCAGAAGAAUCCCCAUGUGCUGGUUGCUCAGUAUAUAUCAAGUGGGACCUGGGUCCAGGGCUCAAUCUCAGUGAGGCAUUUAGAACAUUCUUCUGAGGCACAAUCUUGGGUUGGCAUUUAGCUAGAAGCUUUGCUUUCUUUAAUCCUAUAUUUAAUUAGCCUAAGCUUUGUCAUUUGUUUUUUGUCACUAGAACUGGAACUCAAUGUGUCACUUCUAUAUUCUUGCUGAAUUUUGUUGCAUCUAUGGAACAGGCAAGUCUUGAUAUAGGAAGGGGAAGGCAAGGCGAAGGACCUUGCGUCAUGUUUAUUGAAACCAGUGCCAAAGCUGGGUUUAACAAUAAGGUAGGCUUCAGAAAUAUAGGUUGCUACCAAAUAGUUUUAUAGCUGGUGCAGUUUUUUUGAUUUGUUUUCUGUCAUUUCAAUAAAUUUGUACUGUAUAAAACACUAUAUUGUGACUUGGGCAUCUAUAUUUUAUAUCACUAUUUACUUCAUCUUUAGCAUUCCAAUUUUUUAGUAUUCCAAAUCUUUAUCCGGAACUUGAGUUCUUUUCCAUGAUAUUCCAAGUCUAUGAAGCUAAUGAAAUAUUUGAUUUACUAUAAUGUCAGUGCUAUAUACGGUUGAACUGAAAAAUUGCCCUGCUACUGCUUGGAUUAAAAAUACACCGUUAUGCUGCAUAUAGAAUUAUAGAGUAUAGUUUUGGGUGCUCCAUAUCUCUGUCUUUCCUCUUUACCAUCUUUCUCUGAAUUUCUGCAGGGUAUGAGCAGACUCCCUAUGAUUUCAUUUCAUUGGUAGGAAUUAAAUCGCUUUUUUCUAUAUUAAGUCGGAGCGGCUGCUGCCAGGCGGCCAGCCAAAGCAACUGCAGAAAUAACCUAUGAAGAUCGACAAUUUAACGACUGCUUAAAAUUAACAAUGAUAACUACCCAGAGUAUGAGCCUCAAUUCCUUUUUACACUCUUUGUUGCUGCUUUUUUUCUUGCUUGGAAUAUACUGAAUAAAUUGUUGCAUCUCUAGACUUAAACCAAAUGUUUAUUGUCAAUAAUAUGCUGCUCCGGGCUUCUGGCUACUAUGGAACAUGUGAAGUCCUUCCUUGAUCCCAAAACCACUACCAAGAUACAUGUAAAUUUCCACUGAGGCACAGACUACAGAACUCUUUUUCUUUUUUUUUUGCUUGAUAACAUUGCUUAGUGUCUAAGAUAUUCUUAUGUUUUGCCAAAGUAAAGAACGGUGUCGCUUAUAAUUGGUCGUUAGGGUUUGUUUCAGUGAAUUUAUCCAUUACAACUUUAAAAACAACGGUGUUGUAGGCAUUUUCAGACUUCAGUUCAAUGCAGGUCGUUGAUUGAAUAGGAAGUCGGUGAUAUCCUGAAUCAUGAAUUUAUUUUUCGCUAUACUGUACUGAUGUGAAUUACUAACCUUGUGAAAAUUGUGCAGGUCAAGAAAUUUCUGAGUCACCUUCGAGAUGAGGUUGAUCUGCAUGUGGUGUUGCUGCACCUAUAUUGAAGCCUUCUAUGAAGCUUCCACACAAGGUGCGGCCUUGUGGGUUUUGCAUAACUCUGGUCACUAAUUUCACAUGUUUUCUUGUGCUUAUUCGAUGUAGGAUUGAUAUUUUGGCCAUACAUAUGAUACUAGGAUUAUCCCAUGAUAAUCAGUUGGACUACUAAAUAUUUGCUUUUCUUUUCUCUUCAGCUCAUGAUAUUUGAUAUGAGAGACAGUGAGGAGCAGUGUGUUUGGCUAUUGUUGACGGUCCUUAAUU